Molecule: long non-coding RNA, 204 nt
Filed under: Gallus gallus (chicken)
Lineage: Eukaryota; Metazoa; Chordata; Aves; Galliformes; Phasianidae
Source: RNAcentral
UUCAAAUUUACGCUGGAUUUCAUCUCUAUGUGCCGUGAGAGCUUGAAUCUCUUCCUCUGCCUCAGCUGUGGUCUCCUCUAGUUCAGUUUUGGCCUCACGGAGCUGAUUCUCCAGGGCUGUCCGUGCAGCCUGCAGCCCAGUAAUUUGAGAUUCCCGCUCCUGGAGUGUCAGCUGCAAUUCUGUCAACUGUCUUUUGAGUUCCAG